AUGAUGGCUAGGAAAAGGGAUAUACGGGAAUUGAGAGAACCUAAUACUCCAUUCAUUGUACUCAUGUACAAGGAAACUUUAUUGGCUACUAACGAUUUACCCUCAACUCUUCCUAGUGUUGUUUUUGAUCUUUUGCAGGAGUAUGAGGAUGUGUUUCACAAGGAGGUACCCCCUGGUUUGUCACUCAAGUGGGGCAAUGAGCACCAAAUCGACAUAGUUCCGGGCGCCCCACUACCAAACCGACCACCGUACCGAGCAAUCCCCAGAGGAGACGAAGGAAAUUCAGAGGCAAGUAGAAGAUCUUCUUAA
RNAcentral lists this ribosomal RNA (309 nucleotides) under Triticum aestivum (bread wheat). RNAcentral describes it as "partial small subunit ribosomal RNA". Lineage: Eukaryota; Viridiplantae; Streptophyta; Magnoliopsida; Poales; Poaceae. The record is from RNAcentral.